CCUACGGGAGGCAGCAGUGAGGAAUAUUGGUCAAUGGACGCAAGUCUGAACCAGCCAUGCCGCGUGCAGGAAGACGGCUCUAUGAGUUGUAAACUGCUUUUGUACGAGGGUAAACGCAGAUACGCGUAUCUGUCUGAAAGUAUCGUACGAAUAAGGAUCGGCUAACUCCGUGCCAGCAGCCGCGGGUAUACGGAGGAUUCAAGCGUUAUCCGGAUUUAUUGGGUUUAAAGGGUGCGUAGGCGGUCGGAUAAGUUAGAGGUGAAAUCCCGAGGCUCAACUUCGGAAUUGCCUCUGAUACUGUGCGGCUAGAGAGUAGUUGCGGUAGGCGGAAUGUAUGGUGUAGCGGUGAAAUGCUUAGAGAUCAUACAGAACACCGAUUGCGAAGGCAGCUUACCAAGCUACUUCUGACGUUGAGGCACGAAAGCGUGGGGAGCAAACAGGAUUAGAUACCCGAGUAGUC
RNAcentral lists this ribosomal RNA (460 nucleotides) under uncultured bacterium. Its description in RNAcentral is "partial 16S ribosomal RNA". It matches the Rfam family "Bacterial small subunit ribosomal RNA", at positions 338 to 795 of the family's 1533-position model. The record is from RNAcentral.